Pan troglodytes (chimpanzee) is the source of this 4446-nucleotide RNA transcript. It is a transcript of the gene named embryonic stem cell-related gene protein-like, with no coding region annotated. The record is from RefSeq and is a predicted model, not a curated record. The transcript has 9 exons. NCBI's taxonomy places the organism in Eukaryota, Metazoa, Chordata, Mammalia, Primates, Hominidae.
UUUAUUUUCUGUAGGCUGAGGACUAGUGUGGAGAAGGUUUAGCCUUUAGGAGGUCGUGGUUGCUGCUGUUACUUCUGUUAAAUGUUCCAGGACUUACUCCAUUUGGCUCCAGGACCGUACCUGCCCUUCUAAGAACUAUUCACAAUAGCAAAGACAUGGAAUCAACCUAAAUGCCCAUCAAUGAUAGACUGGAUAAAGAAAAUCUGGUAUAUAUACACCAUGGAAUACUAUGCAGCCAUAAAAAAGAAUGAGAUCAUGUCCUUUGCAGUGACAUGGAUGGAGCUGGAGGCCAUUAUCCUUAGAAAACUAACACAGGAACAGAAAACCAAAUGUCACGUGUUCUCACAUAUAAGUGAGAGCUAAAUGAUUUCCCUGGAACCCAUUCCUUAUACCAUGGAAGAAGCUCAUUCUAGUCCACAGAGAGAGACAUGAAGAGGCUCACAUAGAAAGGAAUGGAGAUCUCCAGCCAAGGGUCAAUAUAAAUUUCCAGAUGAGUGAAUGAAUGAGCCUUCAGAUGAUUCCAGUAUCCACCCUUUGGGUCUUUCAGAUGAGGCCUGAGACAUUAUGAUGCAAAGACAGUCUUCUCCUCUAUGUUCUGUCCAAAUCCCUUACCCAGAGAGUCGGCCAUCAAGCUCUAGAGGAUCCUCAGUGAGAGAUAUGACCUCUCAAUAUUCAAGAGUCACUCAUCUACAGGGGACCCUAGACUGCCCAGCAGUGAGACAUGGCAGGAAUGUGACUGUUAAGAGAAGAACACCUCAAGUGAGCAUGUGCAAAAUUUUGAGUCUCACUCUGUUGCCCGGGCUGGAGUGCAAUGGUUCGAUCUCAGCUCACUGUGACUUCCACCUCCCAGGUUCAAGCCAUUCUCCUGUCUCAGCCUACCGAAUAGCUGGGAUUAUAGGCAUGAGCCACCGUGCCCAGCCGUGUCUUCUCUUUUACCUGGCAACCCUACUAGAGGCUUUCAGAGAUAAAAAUCUGUUGGAUGACGUGCAGCUUACCCUUUCAAAGUUCCUUAAGGACCCUGGGGAAUGCAGCCAUCUGGAAUUUGCUGUCAUGCUGUGAUUUCUGCAGACGCGCAUGAAAUUUGGUGCCAUGACUCGGAUCGGGGGAACUCCCUUGGAAGAUCAAUCCCCUGUCCUCCUGCUCUUUGCUCCAUGAGAAAGAUCCGCCUACGACCUCAGGUCCUCAGGCCGACCAGCCCAAGAAACAUCUCACCAAUUUCAAAUCCACAGCUGAAGACUGACGCUGCCCGAUCACCUCGGAAGCCCCGUAGACCAUCACGGAUGCCGAGCUUCAGGUAACUCUCACAGUGGAAGGUAAGUCCGUCCCCUUAGUCAACACAGAGGCUACCCACUCCACAUUACCUUCUUUUCAAGGGCCUGUUUCCCUUACCUCCAUAAUUGUUGUAGGUAUUGACGGCCAGGCUUCUAAACCCCUGAAAACUCCCCCACUCUGGUGCCAACUUGGACAACACUCUUUUAUGCACUCUUUUUUAGUUAUCCCCACCUGCCCAGUUCCCUUAUUAGGCUGAGAUAUUUUAACCAAAUUAUCUGCUUCCCUGACUGUUCCUGGACUACAGCCGCAUCUCAUUGCCGCCCUUCUCCCCAACCCAAAGCCUCCUCUCAUCUUCCUCUCGUAUCCCCCCACCUUAACCCACAAGUAUGGGACAUCUUUACUCCUUCCCUGGCAACCGAUCACAUGCCCAUUACCAUCCCAUUAAGACCUAAUCACGCUUACCCCACUCAAUGCCAAUAUCCCAUCCCACAGCACACUUUAAAAGGAUUAAAGCCUGUUAUCACUCACCUGCUACAGCAUGGGCUUCUAAAACCUAUAAACUCUCCUUACAAUUCCCCCAUUUUACCUGUCCAAAAACUGGACAAGUCUUACAGAUUAGUUCAGGAUCUGUGCCUUAUCAACCAAAUUGUUUUGCCUAUCCCCCCUGUGGUGCCCAACUCAUACACUCUUUUGUCCUCAAUACCUUCCUCCACAACUCACUAUUCCGUUCUUGAUCUUAAAGAUGCUUUUUUCACUAUUCCCCUACACCCCUCAUCCCAGCCUCUCUUUGCUUUCACUUGGACUGACCCUGACACCCAUUAGGCUCAGCAAAUUACCUGGGCUGUACUGCUGCAAGCCUUCACAGACAGCCCCCAUUACUUCAGUCAAGCCCAAAUUUCAUCCUCAUCUGUUACCUAUCUCAGCAUAAUUCUCAUAAAAACACACAUGCUUUCCCUGCUGAUCGUGUCCGAUUAAUCUCCCAAACCUCAAUCCCUUAUAAAACAACAACUCCUUUCCUUCCUAGGCAUGGUUAGUGCGGUCAGAAUUCUUACACAAGAGCCAGGACCACACCCUGUAGCCUUUCUGUCCAAACAACUUGACCUUACUGUUUUAGCCUAGCCAUCAUGUCUCCGUGCAGCGGCUGCUGCGGCCCUAAUACUUUUAGAGGCCCUCAAAAUCACAAACUAUGCUCAACUUACUCUCUACAGUUCUCAUAACUUCCAAAAUCUAUUUUCUUCCUCAUACCUGAUGCAUAUACAUUCUGCUCCCUGGCUCCUUCAGCUGUACUCACUUUUUGUUAAGUCCCACAAUUACUAUUGUUCCUGGCCCGGACUUCAAUCUGGCCUCCCACAUUAUUCUGGAUACCACACCUGACCCUCAUGACUGUAUCUCUCUGAUCCACCUGACAUUCACCCAAUUUCCCCAUAUUUCCUUCUUUCCUGUUCCUCACCCUGAUCAUGCUUGAUUUAUUAAUGGCGGUUCCACCAGGCCUAAUUGCCACACACCAGCAAAGGCAGGUUAUGCUAUAGUACAAGCCACUAGCCCGCCUCUUAAAACCUCUCAUUUACUUUCCAUUGUGGAAAUCUAUCCUCAAGGAAAUAACUUCUCAGUGUUCCAUCUGCUAUUCUACUACUACUCAAAGAUUAUUGAGGCCCCCCUCCCUUCCCUACACAUCAAGCUCGAGGAUUUGCCCCACCCAGGACUGGCAAAUUAGCUUUACUCAACAUGCCCCGAGUCAGAUAACUAAAAUACCUCUUAGUCUAGGUAGACAAUUUCACUGGAUAAGUAGAGUCCUUUCCUAAAGGGUCUGAGAAGGCCACCGCAGUCAUUUCUUCCCUUCUGUCAGACAUAAUUCCUCAGUUUAGCCUUCUCACCUCUAUACAGUCUGAUAACAGACCAGCCUUUAUUAGUCAAAUCAGCCAAGCAGUUUUUCAGGCUCUUAGUAUUCAGUGAAACCUUUAUGUCCCUUACAGUCCUCAGUCUUCAGGAAAAGUAGAACAGACUAGUGGUCUUUUAAAAACACACCUCACCAAGUUCAGCCACCAACUUAAAAAGGACUGGACAAUACUUUUACCACUUUCCCUUCUCAGAAGUCAGACCUGUCCUCAGAAUGCUACAGGGUACAGCCCAUUUGAGCUCCUGUAUAGACGCUCCUUUUUAUUAGGCCUCAGUCUCAUUCCAGACACCAGACUAACUUAGACUGUGCCUCAAAAAACUUGUCAUCCCUACUAUCUUCUUUCUAGCCAUACUCCUAUUCACUGUUCUGAACUACUCAUACAUACCCCGCUCUUGUUUACACUGCUGGUUUACACUGUUUCUCCAAGCCAUCACAGCUGAUAUCUCCUGGUGCUAUCCCCAAACUGCCACUCUUAACUCUUGAAGUAAAUAAAUAAUCUUUGCUGACAGGACUAUGCUGAAUUUCCUUAGGCACUCUAAUUAGAUGUCCUAAGUCCUCCCAAUUCUUAGACCUUUAAUAUCUGUUUUUCUCCUUCUCUUAUUCUAUUUAGUUUUUCAAUUCAUACAAAACUGUAUCCAGGCCAUCACCAAUAAUUCUAAAUGACAAAUGUUUCUUCUAACAGUCCCACAACAUCACCUCUUACCACAAAAUCUUCCUUCAGCUUAAUCUCUCCCACUCUAGGUUCCCACGACGCCCCUAAUCCCGCUGGAAGCAGCCCUGAGAAGCAUCGCCCAUUAUCUCUCCAUACCAACCCCCAAAAUUUUCGCCACCCCAACACUUUAUCACUAUUUUGUUUAUUUUUCUUAUUAAUAUAAGAAGACAGGAAUGUCAGCCUCUGAGCCCAAGCUAAGCCAUCAUAUCCCCUGUGACCUGCACGUACACAUCCAGAUGGCCGGUUCCUGCCUUAACUGAUGACAUUCCACCACAAAAGAAGUGAAAAUGGCCUGUUCCUGCCUUAACUGAUGACAUUGUCUUGUGAAAUUCCUUCUCCUGGCUCAUCCUGGCUCAAAAGCUCCCCUACUGAGCACCUUGUGACCCCAACUGUGCCCGCCAGAGAACAACCCCCCUUUGACUGUAAUUUUCCUUUCCCUACCCAAAUCCUAUAAAACAGCCCCACUCCUAUCUCCCUUCGCUGACUCUCUUUUCGGACUCAGCCCACCUGCACCCAGGUGAAAUAAACAGCCAUGUUGCUCACACAAAGCCUGUUUGGUGGUCUC